RNAcentral lists this ribosomal RNA (549 nucleotides) under Triticum aestivum (bread wheat). RNAcentral describes it as "partial small subunit ribosomal RNA". The record is from RNAcentral. Lineage: Eukaryota; Viridiplantae; Streptophyta; Magnoliopsida; Poales; Poaceae.
CUGAGGGUGAAAGUAUCAAUUGCAGCUAUUAAGUGGUUGACAUCAAAAUCUUGUGCAUUUAGAGGCCAUGAUGAAACACCAGAGUCAAAGAACAGAGGGAACUUUAUUGAACUAUUAAAGCUCCUUGCAGAAUUCAAUCCUGAGAUUGCUGAAGUUAUUUUGGAGAAUACUCCAUACUGUUCAAAGUACACAUCACAUGAAAUCCAACAAGAGAUAUUGUUUUUCCGCAAAAGAAAAGUUAGGAAACAUAUCCGUGAAGAGAUUGGGAAUUCUAAGUUUUCUAUUCUAGUGGACGAGACAUGUGAUGUAGCAAAAAGAGAGCAGAUGGCAUUGGUUCUCAGAUUCGUUGAUGAAGAUCGUAUAUUGCAAGAGCGGUUCUUUGCCUUGAUACAUGUGACGAACACCAAAGCCGCAACACUUAAAGAGGUAUUGAGUUCUUUGUUAUGCAAACAUGCUUUUGAUGUUCAGAACCUUUGUGGACAGGGGUACGAUGGGGCUAGUAAUAUGAGGGGGGGGGGGGUUCAAUGGUUUGCAAGCUCUUUUUCUUAG